GUGAAUCAUCAAAUUUUUGAACGCAAAUUGCACUCUCUUCGGAGAGUAUGCCUGUUUGAGGGUCAGCCUAAAAAAAAAAUCGAAAUAUUCGCUUUUUCGCGGUGACAUUCUUCGAAAUUUGGUUAAUUUUAAACUUUUGGUUUUUAGGCGGUUUAAAUUUUUUUUUAGGUUUCCACGAAGUUUUCUAAGUUUUACUUUUUUUACUUUAAAGGUAU
This 215-nucleotide unclassified non-coding RNA is filed under the name Glomus sp. RNAcentral describes it as "partial contains 5.8S ribosomal RNA and internal transcribed spacer 2". The stretch from base 1 to 65 matches the Rfam family "5.8S ribosomal RNA", at positions 84 to 154 of the family's 154-position model. The record is from RNAcentral. Lineage: Eukaryota; Fungi; Glomeromycota; Glomeromycetes; Glomerales; Glomeraceae.